AUAACAUUAUUGUGGCAUCUUCUAUCUGUUGGUUAAUAGUGAUGUCGUCGAGUCUGGAGGCAGCACUGCAAAAACUGGCGUGAUGACCAUCAAGGAGCAUCACCAUGACCUUCUCGACUACGCCAUUUUGUCCUUGCUCGCCUCCAUCUCGUAUUUUGUCUUACAAGCUUUGGCCUUCUUCACCUUUUUUAGCACCAAACAU
Molecule: long non-coding RNA, 202 nt
Filed under: Glycine max (soybean)
Lineage: Eukaryota; Viridiplantae; Streptophyta; Magnoliopsida; Fabales; Fabaceae
Description: long non-coding RNA (GMAX_LNC000783)
Source: RNAcentral